AAAGUCGUAACAAGGUCUCCGUUGGUGAACCAGCGGAGGGAUCAUUACCGAGUUUACAAACUCCCAAACCCCUGUGAACUUAUACCUAUACGUUGCUUCGGCGGGACUCGCCCCGGCUGCCGACCCCCUCGCGGGGGAGGCGGACCGGACCCAGGCGCCCGCCGGAGGACCCAAACUCUUCUGUCUCUCAUAGCGGCAUGUCUGAGUGGAUUUUUAUACAAAAUGAAUCAAAACUUUCAACAACGGAUCUCUUGGUUCUG
RNAcentral lists this unclassified non-coding RNA (260 nucleotides) under Ascomycota sp. RNAcentral's name for it is "partial contains small subunit ribosomal RNA, internal transcribed spacer 1, and 5.8S ribosomal RNA". The stretch from base 1 to 47 matches the Rfam family "Eukaryotic small subunit ribosomal RNA", at positions 1785 to 1831 of the family's 1831-position model. The record is from RNAcentral. Lineage: Eukaryota; Fungi; Ascomycota.